This 496-nucleotide ribosomal RNA is filed under the name uncultured bacterium. Its description in RNAcentral is "partial 16S ribosomal RNA". It matches the Rfam family "Bacterial small subunit ribosomal RNA", at positions 28 to 506 of the family's 1533-position model. The record is from RNAcentral.
GAUGAACGCUGGCGGCGUGCCUAAUACAUGCAAGUCGAGCGAACGGACGAGAAGCUUGCUUCUCUGAUGUUAGCGGCGGACGGGUGAGUAACACGUGGAUAACCUACCUAUAAGACUGGGAUAACUUCGGGAAACCGUAGCUAAUACCGGAUAAUAUUUUGAACCGCAUGGUUCAAAAGUGAAAGACGGUCUUGCUGUCACUUAUAGAUGGAUCCGCGCUGCAUUAGCUAGUUGGUAAGGUAACGGCCUACCAAGGCAACGAUGCAUAGCCGACCUGAGAGGGUGAUCGGCCACACUGGAACUGAGACACGGUCCAGACUCCUACGGGAGGCAGCAGUAGGGAAUCUACCGCAAUGGGCGAAAGCCUGACGGAGCAACGCAGCGUGAGUGAUGAAGGUCUUCGGAUCGUAAAACUCUGUUAUUAGGGAAGAACAUAUGUGUAAGUAACUGUGCACAUCUUGACGGUACCUAAUCAGAAAGCCACGGCUAACUACGU